GACCUAGCGGCGGACGGGUGAGUAAUGCUUAGGAAUCUGCCUAUUAGUGGGGGACAACAUCUCGAAAGGGAUGCUAAUACCGCAUACGUCCUACGGGAGAAAGCAGGGGACCUUCGGGCCUUGCGCUAAUAGAUGAGCCUAAGUCGGAUUAGCUAGUUGGUGGGGUAAAGGCCUACCAAGGCGACGAUCUGUAGCGGGUCUGAGAGGAUGAUCCGCCACACUGGGACUGAGACACGGCCCAGACUCCUACGGGAGGCAGCAGUGGGGAAUAUUGGACAAUGGGGGGAACCCUGAUCCAGCCAUGCCGCGUGUGUGAAGAAGGCCUUUUGGUUGUAAAGCACUUUAAGCGAGGAGGAGGCUACCGAGAUUAAUACUCUUGGAUAGUGGACGUUACUCGCAGAAUAAGCACCGGCUAACUCUGUGCCAGCAGCCGCGGUAAUACAGAGGGUGCAAGCGUUAAUCGGAUUUACUGGGCGUAAAGCGCGCGUAGGUGGCCAAUUAAGUCAAAUGUGAAAUCCCCGAGCUUAACUUGGGAAUUGCAUUCGAUACUGGUUGGCUAGAGUAUGGGAGAGGAUGGUAGAAUUCCAGGUGUAGCGGUGAAAUGCGUAGAGAUCUGGAGGAAUACCGAUGGCGAAGGCAGCCAUCUGGCCUAAUACUGACACUGAGGUGCGAAAGCAUGGGGAGCAAACAGGAUUAGAUACCCUGGUAGUCCAUGCCGUAAACGAUGUCUACUAGCCGUUGGGGCCUUUGAGG
This 753-nucleotide ribosomal RNA is filed under the name Acinetobacter lwoffii. Its description in RNAcentral is "bacterial SSU rRNA". It matches the Rfam family "Bacterial small subunit ribosomal RNA", at positions 89 to 837 of the family's 1533-position model. Lineage: Bacteria; Pseudomonadati; Pseudomonadota; Gammaproteobacteria; Moraxellales; Moraxellaceae. The record is from RNAcentral.